Cyprinus carpio (common carp) is the source of this 1020-nucleotide long non-coding RNA. Lineage: Eukaryota; Metazoa; Chordata; Actinopteri; Cypriniformes; Cyprinidae. The record is from Ensembl.
UGCUGAAUGAAAGUGAAGCCUUUUAGUUUUUUUGGAUAGUGACAGUUUUUUUAGUGUGAUUACCCAAAAAAUGUAAGAAAAAAUAGAUUUUAAUUAUUAGUAUUUUAAAGUAUUAAAUCACAGUAGUAAACAGUAAUACUGUACUGCAAUUUGUGUGUGUGUGUGUGUGUGUGUGUAUAUAUAUAUAAAUAUAUAUACUUAUGUGUGUACUUUAUGUACACACACAUAUACGCACAUAUGUAUGUUUUGUUUUGUGAAAAAAAUAUUAUGUAUAAGAAUCUAAGAACCGUCUGAAAUUUUCUUCUAAAAUGAGCAUUUUUAUCAGGCUCCUAUAUUUAUGUGUAGUUAUUUCACUUUAAUUGCAUAGAAAAGGACCUAUACAUUGCUAUUAGAGUAAACUUACUGAACCUAAACAUAGGAGCCUGAUAAAAAUACUCAUUUUAGAAGAAAAUUUCAGAUGGCACUUAAGAGGCUUUUGCAUCUGAACUCUUCAUACAGAGAGAGAGCGCGCGAGAGGUAAUUUAAAUAAUUAGUGUAUGUAAUAAAAUAUAACAUUAUUAUACGUAGUAUAAUAUUAGUAUAAUGUAAAGAUACUAUAUUAGGUAUAAAAGCAAUAUUUGCAAUAUAUUAGCAAUAAUGUGACCUAGAUAUGUUUUUGUGAGAUUCAUUUGAUGGUUAGAAAACUGAACAUGAACUGAACUAACAAAAAAAAAUGUCCAUAUACAGAUACAGUAUGCUGAAUUGAAUGUCAAACGCUUAAAUAGCUCACAUAAAUAUAGCAAAUGUGCCUUGUUAUGUAAGAGACAGACCAAGAACUAUGGCUCUACAAAUCAUGAAAAGGCACCAAGAAUCGCUGCUUUACAGUGCGAGUGACAUAACAUCUGCUGGAGAGAACAUCUUCAGUGUUCAGAAUCAAACUUCCCAGGAAAAACAUCAGUUCCUGGCUGGAGUUGGGAGAAUCUGAGCGCUGCAUACAUGAACAACCCUCUCUUUAUUUUUGACGAGGUUUGCCUUGGACAA